Molecule: ribosomal RNA, 495 nt
Filed under: uncultured bacterium
Lineage: Bacteria
Description: partial 16S ribosomal RNA
Rfam family: Bacterial small subunit ribosomal RNA
Source: RNAcentral
GACGAACGCUGGCGGCGUGCCUAAUACAUGCAAGUAGAACGCUGAAGGAGGAGCUUGCUUCUCUGGAUGAGUUGCGAACGGGUGAGUAACGCGUAGGUAACCUGCCUGGUAGCGGGGGAUAACUAUUGGAAACGAUAGCUAAUACCGCAUAAUAGUAGAUGUUGCAUGACAUUUGCUUAAAAGGUGCAAUUGCAUCACUACCAGAUGGACCUGCGUUGUAUUAGCUAGUUGGUGGGGUAACGGCUCACCAAGGCGACGAUACAUAGCCGACCUGAGAGGGUGAUCGGCCACGCUGGGACUGGGACACGGCCCAGAAUCCUACGGGAGGCAGCAGUAGGGAAUCUUCGGCAAUGGACGGAAGUCUGAACGAGCAACGCCGCGUGAGUGAAGAAGGUUUUCGGAUCGUAAAGCUCUGUUGUAAGAGAAGAACGAGUGUGAGAGUGGAAAGUUCACACUGUGACGGUAUCUUACCAGAAAGGGACGGCUAACUACGUG